RNAcentral lists this ribosomal RNA (487 nucleotides) under uncultured bacterium. RNAcentral describes it as "bacterial SSU rRNA". It matches the Rfam family "Bacterial small subunit ribosomal RNA", at positions 501 to 987 of the family's 1533-position model. The record is from RNAcentral.
CUACGUGCCAGCAGCCGCGGUAAUACGUAGGGUGCGAGCGUUAAUCGGAAUUACUGGGCGUAAAGCGGGCGCAGACGGUUACUUAAGCAGGAUGUGAAGUCCCCGGGCUCAACCUGGGAACUGCGUUCUGAACUGGGUGACUAGAGUGUGUCAGAGGGAGGUAGAAUUCCACGUGUAGCAGUGAAAUGCGUAGAGAUGUGGAGGAAUACCGAUGGCGAAGGCAGCCUCCUGGGAUAACACUGACGUUCAUGCCCGAAAGCGUGGGUAGCAAACAGGAUUAGAUACCCUGGUAGUCCACGCCCUAAACGAUGUCGAUUAGCUGUUGGGCAGCAUGACUGCUUAGUAGCGAAGCUAACGCGUGAAAUCGACCGCCUGGGGAGUACGGUCGCAAGAUUAAAACUCAAAGGAAUUGACGGGGACCCGCACAAGCGGUGGAUGAUGUGGAUUAAUUCGAUGCAACGCGAAGAACCUUACCUGGUCUUGACAU